UUUUGACUUUGUACCAGCGACUCCACUAUUAUUAUAAGAUAUUCUCCAAUUUUUAGUGAAAAAGAAAAACAAAAAGAAUACAAGAAAAAUGAGUAAACAAUAAAAAAAGAAUUAAUAAAAGAAUUGAUUCAUAUUGAUAUAGAUAGGAAAAAAAGAAAAACAAAAAGAAUACAAGAAAAAUGAGUAAACAAUAAAAAAAGAAUUAAUAAAAGAAUUGAUUCAUAUUGAUAUAGAUAGGAGACAUAAUUAACAUGGAUAUAGU
RNAcentral lists this long non-coding RNA (262 nucleotides) under Lathyrus oleraceus (garden pea). RNAcentral's name for it is "Pisum sativum (pea) long non-coding RNA (PSAT_LNC040362)". The record is from RNAcentral. Lineage: Eukaryota; Viridiplantae; Streptophyta; Magnoliopsida; Fabales; Fabaceae.